UUCAACGUGAGAGUUUGAUCCUGGCUCAGAGCGAACGCUGGCGGCAGGCUUAACACAUGCAAGUCGAGCGGGCCCUUCGGGGUCAGCGGCGGACGGGUGAGUAACGCGUGGGAACGUGCCUUCUGGUUCG
Molecule: ribosomal RNA, 130 nt
Filed under: Methylobacterium sp. 190mf
Lineage: Bacteria; Pseudomonadati; Pseudomonadota; Alphaproteobacteria; Hyphomicrobiales; Methylobacteriaceae
Description: 16S rRNA. Bacterial SSU
Rfam family: Bacterial small subunit ribosomal RNA
Source: RNAcentral